CUCUCCUUUGUGCAUCUUGGACUCCUGAAGGCCACUCAGAGCAUAGAUGCGGUGAGUGGGGGGGCGGGGGGGAGUGUCCCUGUUUACCAGGCUCAGGGCACCAAGUGGUGGAACCAGCACUGAGGUCCCCCCACAUGCACCCGGAAAGCAAGGCAAUCCUGUGGGUAGAGAGAUGCGGGCUAAGGCAGUGGGUCGCUAGGGGAAUUCAAGGUGGACCCAAUGAGUCACACACUCUGGAGAGGAAAAGCUGGGGGCGGGGAGGGCGGGAGAUAAAGGAAGAAACUGAAGGCGCCUUGUCUCGACUCCAGCCAGCUUAGUUCUUUGGAGAAGCAGUGUGGAGUCCUAAAAAAGGAGGCUGAGUCUUACCGUUGAGGUCGGUGCCGGUAGAGAAUGGGAGGGAGUCUGCAGGAGCCAAGCACCCUAAAGAAGAGGAAGAGAGCACGUUGCUGAGAUUUGAACAGCGACCUGAGAGGUCAGACUGGACCCAGGCCCCUCCUCUCAGAUUGGCUUCCCAUGGGACCUGCAACUGUCUGGAAACAAAAAAAGAAGCCUACCAAAAGGGGAAAUUUAAAGGAGAGCAAGAAACCAUGAAGAGAGAGCCGAAAACCAAGAUGCCGACAAGCCCAAAGGAAAGCGGAGUGUCCUGUGUGCCACAUGGAACUCGGGGAAAGGAAAUGAUUAAAGCCGUGAGGUUUCCUGGCUCUUCGGUUUUUAAACCACGGGUUGUCAACUAUUUGUUCAUCUUGAAACCAAUACUGUGGGGGAGAAAUAGCUGGUGUCAGAAAGUUUGCAAAAGAUCCUGGUGUCUUAACAGCUGCUGGUAGAAUGGCUGAGGGCCAUAGUGAGUACUUCAGAGGCUUGGUGACUGAUGCGAGGGUGAAGACUCUUCCACUGCUUUUACAGCCCCUCUGCUCUGGUGCUGAGAAGCAGGUACUAUUCCCAUUGCUCAAACCCCAAGGCGCUGAUUAAAACACAUCUAACACUUUUCUAGGAGUUGCCCUUCUAGACUUGACCUUGGGAAUGGCAGCCAUCUCCCUGUUGAGAGCAUUCCAGAUGCUGAGGUUGCCUAGCUGAGCUAACACUCAACUUGGGUGUGGCCUCUGUGUCUCCCUCUUACCCUGCAAAUGUAUGAAGCAAAUGGCUUGAGAUUUCUGUACCAUUCUGUCAGUCAGGAGGAAAGGAGAGUCCCAUAUCUUGGUCAAGAGGAACCUGCCCACAAACUCCAUUUUAGGUUUCCUAGUGUUCUGACUUGAGGAAUAUGCGGAUUUUCCCCCUGCUACCAAUCUAGAAGGCACCACUGCUAAUAAUCUAGUGUUCCAGAAAUGCAUUUUCCCUUGUAGCAUAUGCUUUUAGGCUUUAGAAGGUGCCAGAAUCACCUAAAUGGCUGGGGACUGGUCAGUGGGCACAAUAGAUAAAGGAGUUUCCAUCUAGUCUAAUGAUCUCUUCCAUCUCUGUGAUUUACUUCAUGACGUGGCAGGCACACACCCUCCCCACAAACUAAAUAAGUGUUAUAAACAAAACAACAAAACAAAGACAAAAACAAAACCGCAGUCCUCAUUUCUGAUCCAGCAGGUCUGAGGCAGAGUUUAAGAACCUGAAUUUCUUAUAACUUCCCAAGUGAUGCGAAGGCUGGUCCAGGGAAUAGACUUUCAGAACCAUUGCCAUAUAUCCUCUUAAGAAGGUGUGAAAUGGAAGGUGAUUGACAGGGCAGGGUGAAAGUGUCCCUGAAUCCUUCCACACUCACCUCAUGCUAAAGCUAACAGCAAGUCUUGCAUACUGAAAAACUUCAGUGGAGGGGAGUGAUGGCUUACAGAGGGAUUUGGGUACAGUAGAAUUUUAUCACUUUAUACAUCUAAAGGAUCGUGCCAGGAAUAUAAAUCUUCACACAUCAUAAACUGUUCAUUUUUGUCUUGUGUUUAGUCUUGCAUAUUUUAAAGCCUAGGGGGAGAGUCAAAUCAAGAUAGUUCAAUGAAAACUUAACCAAUGGCAAUUCUUUUAUAUAAAGAUAAUGUUUACCACUGUGCUGCAAAGGGACAGAUAUACUCUGUAUUAAAUGGGAGCUGUGGGCUGAACUUGAAUGUCACUGACUCUGCCAAGAUGGUCCUGGCUCCCAAGGCCUGGCUCCUGUGGCUUCCUAGUGCUGGGCUCUGGCUG
This 2154-nucleotide long non-coding RNA is filed under the name Mus musculus (house mouse). RNAcentral describes it as "Handsdown". The record is from RNAcentral. Lineage: Eukaryota; Metazoa; Chordata; Mammalia; Rodentia; Muridae.